Molecule: ribosomal RNA, 50 nt
Filed under: Ilyonectria destructans
Lineage: Eukaryota; Fungi; Ascomycota; Sordariomycetes; Hypocreales; Nectriaceae
Description: partial 28S ribosomal RNA
Source: RNAcentral
UCUGAACGUUUGACCUCGGAUCAGGUAGGAAUACAACUUGAACUUAAGCA